Triticum dicoccoides is the source of this 685-nucleotide long non-coding RNA. RefSeq lists it as uncharacterized. Lineage: Eukaryota; Viridiplantae; Streptophyta; Magnoliopsida; Poales; Poaceae. The transcript has 2 exons. The record is from RefSeq and is a predicted model, not a curated record.
UGAUGUGGUCGGAGACGAUGCAACUUUUGCAGGUGUCGUCCAAAGUCACGCGGGUGCCUAUCCCCUGCUCGCGAUCUGAGUUCUGUUUGCUUGGUUUCGGCGGAGAUUUCUCCGGAAAGUGCAGCACCUGGCCAGGCCACGCCCGGGGCGAGCGAAACACGCUCGCAAUCCGGACGUACACGUACGCCCUCCGCCCUUCACCGUCGCUACCUGGCGGCAAGUCUGUCUAGGGACGCGGGCUGAAUCGGAUGAGACUUGCGAAGCUAGAUCGGGGCCAUCGACCCAAUCUCCAGCGAUAGAGGAAGCUAUACGUGCGAGAAACCCAUCCGGCCAUCUGUCCAACAGACUUCGCAUCUUCCGCCGGAUCGAGAUUGCAGAGCCCAGACAACGAUUGGCAAUGCAGGAGGGUUAUUCAGUGACGGCUGAUCUCUAAUUUGAUUAUAUAAUAAGGUGGCAUAAUGGGUAUUGUUAUUCCACAUCUUCCUCCACACAACUUACGCUAUGUUCUCAAUCCUGCCAGAUUUGGUACUGCAGACUGCAAGUGUGAUUAGUCAUUACUCAUUAGUGUGUUUUCAGCUCUGCAUAUUAUAUGGCCCAGUCUAAUAUAUUUCGAAAAAGGGUUUCCCCACUUUGUAUUACAAAGCAACCAGUAUAUUGUAAAUGAUUGGCGAGUGAAUUCCUUUCA